UCUCCGUUGGUGAACCAGCGGAGGGAUCAUUACCGAGUUUACAACUCCCAAACCCAAUGUGAACGUUACCAAACUGUUGCCUCGGCGGGAUCUCUGCCCCGGGUGCGUCGCAGCCCCGGACCAAGGCGCCCGCCGGAGGACCAACCAAAACUCUUAUUGUAUACCCCCUCGCGGGUUUUUUUUUAUAAUCUGAGCCUUCUCGGCGCCUCUCGUAGGCGUUUCGAAAAUGAAUCAAAACUUUCAACAACGGAUCUCUUGGUUCUG
RNAcentral lists this unclassified non-coding RNA (264 nucleotides) under plant metagenome. Its description in RNAcentral is "partial contains small subunit ribosomal RNA, internal transcribed spacer 1, and 5.8S ribosomal RNA". The record is from RNAcentral.